Molecule: unclassified non-coding RNA, 343 nt
Filed under: soil metagenome
Description: partial contains 5.8S ribosomal RNA, internal transcribed spacer 2, and large subunit ribosomal RNA
Rfam family: 5.8S ribosomal RNA (bases 1-120)
Source: RNAcentral
GAUGAAGAACGUAGCGAAAUGCGAUAAGUAAUGUGAAUUGCAGAAUUCAGUGAAUCAUCGAAUCUUUGAACGCACAUUGCGCCCGCUAGUAUUCUGGCGGGCAUGUCUGUCCGAGCGUCAUUUCAACCCUCAAGCCCCCAGGCUUGGUGUUGGGGAUCGGCGAGCCUCCGCGCCCGCCGUCCCCUAAAUCUAGUGGCGGUCUCGCUGUAGCUUCCUCUGCGUAGUAGCACACCUCGCACUGGGAAACAGCGCGGCCACGCCGUUAAACCCCCAACUUCUGAACGUUUGACCUCGGAUCAGGUAGGAAUACCCGCUGAACUUAAGCAUAUCAAUAAGCGGAGGA